This is a non-coding RNA of Nothobranchius furzeri (turquoise killifish), 835 nucleotides long. Lineage: Eukaryota; Metazoa; Chordata; Actinopteri; Cyprinodontiformes; Nothobranchiidae. The record is from the annotation of a RefSeq genome assembly.
GUGAGGAGGAGUUCAUGUAAAACAUCUUCCAGCUCUUAUUUAUCUAGAGAGGACGACAGAAAACAGCAACAGACAUUUGAACAUGAUGGACUGUAGAACAGGACUGCUGCUGCUGCUGCUGUUGGCUGCUGGAUCCUGUGAGUCUGACUGAGACUCAAACAGUCUGAUCAGACUUACUGACUGUUUACUGUUGUGACUGAUUCAUGAUGUUUUCCUUCUCAGGUGUGAAGUGUGAACAGCUGACUCAGCCAGCCUCUGUGACUGUGCAGCCAGAUCUGCGUCUGACCAUCAGCUGUCAGGUCUCUUAUUCUCAGCGCAGCUACAUGACACACUGGAUCAGACAGCCUGCAGGAAAAGGACUGGAGUGGAUUGGUGGAAAAUAUACUGGAUAUUCAUCCUACAAAGAUUCCCUGAAGAACAAGUUCAACAUUGAUUUAGACUCUUCCAGUAACACAGUGACUCUGAAUGGGCAGAACAGGCAGCCUGAAGACUCUGCUGUGUAUUACGGUGCCAGAGAGCCACAGUGACACAAACAUCAGAACAGCUGAACAAAACCCCCCUCAGAGUCUGAACAGCUGUGACAUAAAACCACCAGAGGGGGCAUUCUGAUACUAUUGAUAAUUUGAAAACUGACUUAUUUGACAGGAGAAACUAGCCCAGAAUACACCCAUGUCAUCAGCUGCUUUUGCCUUUCUGGUUAGAAUUCUGCGUGAAAACAUAAAAUAUGAAGAUUCUGAUGAAGUAAACAUUAUUAAUGGUAUCUGCAUAAACUGAAAUGAAGAUGUUUAAACUCUUUGUAUUUUGUUUCUAAAUUUAACUGACUCCAUUAUGACCA